GGGUUGUGAGGUUAAGCGACUAAGCGUACACGGUGGAUGCCCUGGCAGUCAGAGGCGAUGAAGGACGUGCUAAUCUGCGAAAAGCGUCGGUAAGGUGAUAUGAACCGUUAUAACCGGCGAUGUCCGAAUGGGGAAACCCAGUGCAAUUCGUUGCACUAUCGUUAACUGAAUACAUAGGUUAACGAGGCGAACCGGGGGAACUGAAACAUCUAAGUACCCCGAGGAAAAGAAAUCAACCGAGAUUCCCCCAGUAGCGGCGAGCGAACGGGGAGCAGCCCAGAGUCUGAAUCAGCUUGUGUGUUAGUGGAACGGUCUGGAAAGUCCGACGGUACAGGGUGAUAGUCCCGUACACCAAAAUGCACAGGUUGUGAACUCGAAGAGUAGGGCGGGACACGUGGUAUCCUGUCUGAAUAUGGGGGGACCAUCCUCCAAGGCUAAAUACUCCUGACUGACCGAUAGUGAACCAGUACCGUGAGGGAAAGGCGAAAAGAACCCGGCGAGGGGAGUGAAAAGAACCUGAAACCGUGUACGUACAAGCAGUGGGAGCACCUUCGGGUGUGACUGCGUACCUUUGUAUAAUGGGUCAGCGACUUAUAUUCUGUAGCAAGGUUAACCGUAUAGGGAGCCGCAGGGAAACCGAGUCUUAACUGGGCGUUAAGUUGCAGGGUAUAGACCCGAAACCCGGUGAUCUAGCCAUGGGCAGGUUGAAGGUUGGGUAACACUAACUGGAGGACCGAACCGACUAAUGUUGAAAAAUUAGCGGAUGACUUGUGGCUGGGGUGAAAGGCCAAUCAAACCGGGAGAUAGCUGGUUCUCCCGAAAGCUAUUUAGGUAGCGCCUCGUGAACUCAUCUUCGGGGUAGAGCACUGUUUCGGCUAGGGGGUCAUCCCGACUUACCAACCCGAUGCAAACUACGAAUACCGAAGAAUGUUAUCACGGGAGACACACGGCGGGUGCUAACGUCCGUCGUGAAGAGGGAAACAACCCAGACCGCCAGCUAAGGUCCCAAAGUCAUGGUUAAGUGGGAAACGAUGUGGGAAGGCACAGACAGCCAGGAUGUUGGCUUAGAAGCAGCCAUCAUUUAAAGAAAGCGUAAUAGCUCACUGGUCGAGUCGGCCUGCGCGGAAGAUGUAACGGGGCUAAACCAUGCACCGAAGCUGCGGCAGCGACACUAUGUGUUGUUGGGUAGGGGAGCGUUCUGUAAGCCUGCGAAGGUGUGCUGUGAGGCAUGCUGGAGGUAUCAGAAGUGCGAAUGCUGACAUAAGUAACGAUAAAGCGGGUGAAAAGCCCGCUCGCCGGAAGACCAAGGGUUCCUGUCCAACGUUAAUCGGGGCAGGGUGAGUCGACCCCUAAGGCGAGGCCGAAAGGCGUAGUCGAUGGGAAACAGGUUAAUAUUCCUGUACUUGGUGUUACUGCGAAGGGGGGACGGAGAAGGCUAUGUUAGCCGGGCGACGGUUGUCCCGGUUUAAGCAUGUAGGCUGGUUAUCCAGGCAAAUCCGGAUAAUCAAGGCUGAGGUGUGAUGACGAGGCACUACGGUGCUGAAGUAACAAAUGCCCUGCUUCCAGGAAAAGCCUCUAAGCAUCAGGUAACAUCAAAUCGUACCCCAAACCGACACAGGUGGUCAGGUAGAGAAUACCAAGGCGCUUGAGAGAACUCGGGUGAAGGAACUAGGCAAAAUGGUGCCGUAACUUCGGGAGAAGGCACGCUGGUGUGUAGGUGAAGUCCCUGCGGAUGGAGCUGAGACCAGUCGAAGAUACCAGCUGGCUGCAACUGUUUAUUAAAAACACAGCACUGUGCAAACACGAAAGUGGACGUAUACGGUGUGACGCCUGCCCGGUGCCGGAAGGUUAAUUGAUGGGGUUAUCCGUAAGGAGAAGCUCUUGAUCGAAGCCCCGGUAAACGGCGGCCGUAACUAUAACGGUCCUAAGGUAGCGAAAUUCCUUGUCGGGUAAGUUCCGACCUGCACGAAUGGCGUAAUGAUGGCCAGGCUGUCUCCACCCGAGACUCAGUGAAAUUGAACUCGCUGUGAAGAUGCAGUGUACCCGCGGCAAGACGGAAAGACCCCGUGAACCUUUACUAUAGCUUGACACUGAACAUUGAGCCUUGAUGUGUAGGAUAGGUGGGAGGCUUUGAAGCGUGGACGCCAGUCUGCGUGGAGCCAACCUUGAAAUACCACCCUUUAAUGUUUGAUGUUCUAACGUUGGCCCCUGACCGGGGUUGCGGACAGUGUCUGGUGGGUAGUUUGACUGGGGCGGUCUCCUCCCAAAGCGUAACGGAGGAGCACGAAGGUUAGCUAAUCCUGGUCGGACAUCAGGAGGUUAGUGCAAUGGCAUAAGCUAGCUUGACUGCGAGCGUGACGGCGCGAGCAGGUGCGAAAGCAGGUCAUAGUGAUCCGGUGGUUCUGAAUGGAAGGGCCAUCGCUCAACGGAUAAAAGGUACUCCGGGGAUAACAGGCUGAUACCGCCCAAGAGUUCAUAUCGACGGCGGUGUUUGGCACCUCGAUGUCGGCUCAUCACAUCCUGGGGCUGAAGUAGGUCCCAAGGGUAUGGCUGUUCGCCAUUUAAAGUGGUACGCGAGCUGGGUUUAGAACGUCGUGAGACAGUUCGGUCCCUAUCUGCCGUGGGCGCUGGAGAAUUGAGGGGGGCUGCUCCUAGUACGAGAGGACCGGAGUGGACGCAUCACUGGUGUUCGGGUUGUCAUGCCAAUGGCACUGCCCGGUAGCUAAAUGCGGAAGAGAUAAGUGCUGAAAGCAUCUAAGCACGAAACUUGCCCCGAGAUGAGUUCUCCCUGAGACUAUAAGUCUCCUGAAGGAACGUUAAAGACGAUGACGUUGAUAGGCCGGGUGUGUAAGCGCAGCGAUGCGUUGAGCUAACCGGUACUAAUGAACCGUGAGGCUUAACCUUACAACGCCGAAG
RNAcentral lists this ribosomal RNA (2916 nucleotides) under Klebsiella pneumoniae. Its description in RNAcentral is "23S ribosomal RNA". It matches the Rfam family "Bacterial large subunit ribosomal RNA". Lineage: Bacteria; Pseudomonadati; Pseudomonadota; Gammaproteobacteria; Enterobacterales; Enterobacteriaceae. The record is from RNAcentral.